This 67-nucleotide transfer RNA is filed under the name Pedetontus zhejiangensis. RNAcentral describes it as "tRNA-Asn". RNAcentral also lists the same sequence under 1 other name. The record is from RNAcentral. Lineage: Eukaryota; Metazoa; Arthropoda; Insecta; Archaeognatha; Machilidae.
UUAGUAGAAUCCAAACUGAGGAUUAUCACUGUUAAUGAUAUCAUUAAGAUUUAUAUCUUCUAUUAAA